Long non-coding RNA from Mus musculus (house mouse), 1928 nucleotides. RefSeq annotates it as predicted gene, 40915. Lineage: Eukaryota; Metazoa; Chordata; Mammalia; Rodentia; Muridae. The transcript has 4 exons. The record is from RefSeq and is a predicted model, not a curated record.
GGCAGGUUGUAUGGAGGGCUCAACCAGGCAAGGUCAGAUGCUUCCUCUGGACUUACAAUGAAAACUUUCUAUCCUGGAAGGAAACUUCUGAAGACAGGAUGUUUACAGGGAGGUGAAAUACUACAGGGAUUAUAGGGAUACAGGAAGCAAGCAACUCAAAAUAGCCUCAGGAAGUCCCUGAAACUGAUGGAGAUUCAGCAGGCCCCUCCCUCCCCAGUAGUAAGUAAAGGUAAUGACUGAUGGGAGUCACUCUCAGACAAGCCAAUCUGCAAAGAGCCACCAAGCAGCUUGGGAGAAGCAGAGACCAGCUGAGCUGCCUGGAAGAGACUCAGACCAACCGAGUCAUCUGGAAAGGACACUCUCCAGCCUUCGGAGCUGUGCAGUGUGCUCUAGAUCUCCAGCUUUUGUGAGAUGCCACCUAUGCUAGGGGUGGGCUUUCAUGUCAUAGCUGUCGUUGGGUCAUUUCCACUCCAGUACCCUUGGAACCCAAGAAAAGGAGUGAGAUUCCCUAGAGCUGGUGUUACAAGCACUCUGAGUCACCUGGCAUCAAUACUGGGAACAGAGCUAGGGUUCCCUAGAAGAGCCACAAAUACUUCUAACCACGGAGCCAUCUCUCCAGUCACCUGACAGAAGUCAGCACAUGCGGGAAGCUCUGUCUUUAUGUGUUCUCUAUGACUUGGAGAAGAUUCCAGUGACAGGGGAAAAGCGCAGUGACAGAAGCAUGGCAGAGCAGCUGUGACUACCCAAGGAACCCCUCGAGAUUGGCCCUGCUGAGUUCCCCCACAGAAGGAGAGUCUGAGGGGGCACCUGAGUCUCUGACUUCAGAGUCCAGUCCUCUCUCCCUCUCCCACUCCCUUUCAGCUGCUUGUAAUCUGCACUAACUGCCCAUGGUCUGGUUGUAGAGAAGAAAGGUUAACAAGAUGUGACUCUAUUCAUACAGCUAGGGGGAAAUGGUCACCCAUGCUUAGGGGAGGCUGUCCAGUGACUGUGGGACUUACAGGUGACUGGAACUGGCUGUGGCUAGAAGCCCCAGGGCAGCCUGUCUACAAGAUGGAGUGUCAGAUGAUGGCAACACAUACCUACAGACCAAUGCACAAAGACAUUGGUAGUGUUAUUCUCAAACCGAGGCCUAAAGUCUGAGAAUUUGGGGGACUGUGCUGAAAGUUUUAGGAUCCAAAGUCACAGAGCCUGGAAUCUGCUGUAUGAGGCAGCAGAUUCAGACACUGACAGCUGUGAGGGAGAGGCCAGCUCUCCUCUCUCCUGGUGGAGGCAGCCCCAGCAGAGUGAGAGUGUGUGCCCACAGUCCACCCACGUGUACACUCAGUCCUCUGGCAACAGCUUUGUCCCAAAUGCUCCUUAAUCCACUGAAAUGAGUCCCCCAGCAGACAGUGGAUCAUGCUGACCCCAAUUCUAAAGGCAUGGUGUGUCUAGCUUGCAGAAGGCCUUAGAGUGUGUUUUACCCUCGGAACAAGCAACUGCUUCUCUCAGCAGCCGGUUCUGGCUCCCAAGAGUGUCUGUCACGAGUCUUCCCAUUGCUGAGCAGACCUCCAGCAGUCAGUAUUGAUGAGAAUCAGGUCCCUAGUGGGUUUUGUUUUUGUUUUUGUUUUUGUUUUUUUUGGGGGGGUAGCUGUUUGGUGUCACUGUGGAUACAACAUGCCUCCAAACUGGCAUUCCAUUUAGCCAUGGGACGAGCUACCUGGUUCUCUGUCACUUGGGCCGCAGGGUGCUUCAUAAAGUAUCACUUGGACCUGCCCUGCUUUGAGCCUGGAUGGAAAGCUUAGAUACAGCAUAGAGUUGCGGUGAGGAGGUGGGGGAUAGGCAGUUUGCUUCUGGGUGGACUAAGGGUGGCAGCCGCCAUUGAGGGAUGGAGCCCAAGCCCAGAGGUUCAAGGAGAGAAGAGGUGAAUGCAGAGUUUGAAGAUUCCUUGU